RNAcentral lists this ribosomal RNA (253 nucleotides) under uncultured bacterium. RNAcentral describes it as "partial 16S ribosomal RNA". It matches the Rfam family "Bacterial small subunit ribosomal RNA", at positions 524 to 776 of the family's 1533-position model. The record is from RNAcentral.
UACGUAGGGAGCAAGCGUUGUCCGGAAUCAUUGGGCGUAAAGCGCGUGCAGGCGGUCUGGUAAGUUGGAUGUGAAAGCUCCUGGCUCAACCGGGAGAGGUCGUUCAAUACUGCCAGACUCGAGGACGGUAGAGGAGAGUGGAAUUCCCGGUGUAGUGGUGAAAUGCGUAGAUAUUGGGAAGAACACCGGUGGCGAAGGCGGCGACCUGGUCCGAUACUGACGCUGAGGCGCGAAAGCGUGGGGAGCAAACAGG